RNAcentral lists this long non-coding RNA (511 nucleotides) under Medicago truncatula (barrel medic). Its description in RNAcentral is "long non-coding RNA (MTRU_LNC003255)". Lineage: Eukaryota; Viridiplantae; Streptophyta; Magnoliopsida; Fabales; Fabaceae. The record is from RNAcentral.
CCACGCGAGCCUUUUCCCUUCGCCUCGCGAGUUGUUUGGUGCAACUCGCCAUGGCGAGCAAACCUUCCUCGCCUCGCGAGCUUAGGCAGAGUGCAUGUCAUAUUUUGUAGUUUCGACUUUUUAGUUGGACCUUGAGUGCCUUUAAGUGCCUAAACAUACCUAGAGAUGAUUAGGAAUGAUUUUAGGACAGGAUUGAACCCAAAACAACAUUAGUUGGGAAUCUGAGUGGUACUCGCCAUGGCGAGUAAGAACUCUCGCCUCGCGAGCAAGUCCAGAAUGUAGCUUUUUGAGUGGUUGUGCGAUCUGUGUCGCACCUUUUGAUCAAGAGUGAACCCGUAAUUGGUAAUGAGACCUUAUGAUAACGUUUAAUGCAGUCUGUAAAAGCUAUUAAGAUAUGUUGAUAUUAAUUGAGCAUGAUUAAUGUAUUAUGCAAUAUGUGAGAUAUAAUGAAACGAUUAUGAUUCUAUUGAAUUGCUGUUGAUAUAUUGAUAUCUCCCUGCUGAUAUGUGAC